Molecule: non-coding RNA, 951 nt
Organism: Cherax quadricarinatus
Lineage: Eukaryota; Metazoa; Arthropoda; Malacostraca; Decapoda; Parastacidae
Source: RefSeq, a predicted model, not a curated record
CUUAAACUCACCCAAACAAAAAGCGUUCUCCCCAAACAUAAACACAUUUCUCUCCCCCGGGUGGCGUGGAUGGGAAUACAGGUUCAGGAACCUCAAGCGCUCCCAGUAAUUGAGGUGUUUUAUCUCCGUUAUGCGCGCCGUGAAAGUUCUCUGUACAUUUUCUAGGUCGGCAAUUUCACCUGCCUUGAAAGGUGCUGUUAGUGUGCAGCAAUAUUCCAGCCUAGAUAGAACAAGUGACCUGAAGAGUGUCAUCAUGGGCUUGGCCUCCCUGGGGAGAAUUGUGAGUGAGUUUGAUCUGUGGGCCCGGUGUGCAGCAGGCAGUGCAUGCCCAGAAUUAAGGCUCCCGGUUGCACGUGGUUUCUGAGGGGAACUCCAAAGGGGCUAAGGUUAAGCUUAAGGAAGUUGAAGAUCAGGAUAUAUGCUGCAACACCAAAAUAAUAGUGGAUAUUGUUUGUUGCUGUAUCAACAUGUGAGGACCAAGACUGUUUCAACCAAAAAUACUGCUGGAACAAGUGUAGAGGUCUUUAAGAGGAAAUUAGACAAGUAUCUUCACCAGGUGCUGGAUUAACCAGGCUGUGAUGGAGUGGGUCAGUGGACCACCAGCAGUAUCAUCCUGUUGUAGAUGAAUGGUUCAGAGAACCGACAUGUUGUUGAAUUAGACACAUGUGCAACUCUUGGGUAUCUUUGUUGAGGAAACGUUUUGCCACACAGUGGCUUCAUCAGUCCAUACAAAGGAGAAACUUGAAGAACAGGAGGAGAAUGAGGUAAUCAGUCCCUCAGCCUUGAGUCGAUGUGGUCAGUCCAUCAAUCUUGAAUAGAAUAUGGUAUAUGAGCGGAGAAGCAGCUUAUAAACCGUAGACAGGUGAGGGGCAGCAGUCGUAGGUGGUGUCACAUUUGUCCAAUGUGGAAGUAGGUCGUGCCCAAGGGUUAGGCAAGUGAAGAAUUCCCAAG